GGUCUUGUGGUCUAGUGGUAUGAUUCUCGCUUAGGGUUCACCCUGAGUCAUCACUGACAUACUAUAUGUAUAUGCGAGAGGCCCCGCGUUCGAGUCGCGGCAAGACCC
Blastomyces dermatitidis ER-3 is the source of this 108-nucleotide non-coding RNA. Lineage: Eukaryota; Fungi; Ascomycota; Eurotiomycetes; Onygenales; Ajellomycetaceae. The record is from the annotation of a RefSeq genome assembly.